GGAGAGAUGGCUCAGCAGUUAAGAGCACUGGCUGCUCUUCCAGAGGACCUGGGUUCAAUUCCCAGUACCCCCA
This 73-nucleotide transfer RNA is filed under the name Neotoma lepida (desert woodrat). It matches the Rfam family "tRNA". Rfam says of the family: Transfer RNA (tRNA) molecules are approximately 80 nucleotides in length. Lineage: Eukaryota; Metazoa; Chordata; Mammalia; Rodentia; Cricetidae. The record is from Rfam by way of RNAcentral.